AUGGAGAGCUACCAGUUAGCAGACCUGUGUCGUACCAUGCCGGUAAUUGACAACUAUGGCAAUGCUGUCACGGAAAGGCAAAGCAUUCUAGUUCCUGCAAAUGGUAGCAAAUGGGUUGGACUGAUGGGCACAAACCCAUGGAGGAAUGAGAAAUACAUUGAACUGUCAGCAGAUUACAAGUCAGCAGGUCAUUUUGCCGGGAACUACACACCUGCAGAUCAGAUCUUGGAUUUUCUCAAGACAAAGAUGCAGGCCUCGGAUGUGCCAUUCAUACACCCUCCAAAUGCAAGUUUCCCGACAGCCUCAUCACCUCUGACUGUGGACAAUGCAAUCUUGCUACUGCAAUGGAUAAGAAAUUUAAAGUCAAAAGGUGUAUAA
Molecule: ribosomal RNA, 378 nt
Filed under: Triticum aestivum (bread wheat)
Lineage: Eukaryota; Viridiplantae; Streptophyta; Magnoliopsida; Poales; Poaceae
Description: partial small subunit ribosomal RNA
Source: RNAcentral